This 266-nucleotide unclassified non-coding RNA is filed under the name uncultured fungus. RNAcentral's name for it is "partial contains 5.8S ribosomal RNA, internal transcribed spacer 2, and large subunit ribosomal RNA". The stretch from base 1 to 52 matches the Rfam family "5.8S ribosomal RNA", at positions 103 to 154 of the family's 154-position model. The record is from RNAcentral. Lineage: Eukaryota; Fungi.
AACGCACAUUGCGCCCUUUGGUAUUCCGAAGGGCAUGCCUGUUCGAGCGUCAUUAUCACCCCUCAAGCCCUGUGCUUGGUGUUGGACGGUUGGUCGAGCGAUCGACCCCUCCUAAAGACAAUGACGGCGGCCUGUGGUUCCCCCGGUACACUGAGCUUUUAACUGAGCACGUAUCGGACAAGGGCACGCGGGACCCGGUCCUCUCCUUUAGCUAGGAAACUUCUAAGGUUGACCUCGGAUCAGGUAGGAAUACGCGCUGAACUUAA